GCUUUAUAACUAAUAUCCUUUGAUUAGGCAAAUAAGUUCAAAGUAUGCCAUAACCAAUUUGACUAACUAAUGAAUAUUCAAAGAUUGCAUAAAACCGGUGCGACUACUUUAAAGUGAGUUGCAAACAAGAACAUUUUUAUUUGUGGAGGAAGGAGGAUGCCACUGACUUGUCAACCAUCCAUUGGUCUUUGCUGCUGGGCUCUGAUCCAAGUGAUCCUCUCCAUGAGUAUAGAAGCUGGGAUGUAAUGUUAAAAUUGUACAAGGCAUUGGUGAGACCAAAUCUGGAGUAUGGUGUACAAUUUUGGUCGCCCAAUUAUAGGAAGGAUGUCAACAAAAUAGAGAGAGUACAGAGGAGAUUUACUAGAAUGUUGCCUGUGUUUCAACAACUAAGUUACAGAGAUAGGUUGAAUAAGUUAGGUCUUUAUUCUCUGGAGCGCAGAAGGUUAAGGGGGGACCUGAUAGAGGUCUUUAAAAUGAUGAGAGGGAUAGACAGAGUUGAUGUGGACAAGCUUUUCCCUUUGAGAAUAGGGAAGAUUAAACAAGAGGACAUGACUUCAGAAUUAAGGGACAGAAGUUUAGGGGUAAUAUGAGGGGGAACUUCUUUACGCAGAGAGUGGUGGCGGUGUGGAAUGAGCUCCCAGUGGAAGUGGUGGAGGCAGGUUCAUUAGUAUCAUUUAAAAAUAAAUUGGAUAGGCAUAUGGAUGAGAAGGGAAUGGAGGGUUAUGGUACGAGUGCAGGCAGGUGGGACUAAGGGGAAAAAAAUUUUGUUCGGCACGGACUUGUAGGGCCGAGAUGGCCUGUUUCCGUGCUGUAAUUGUUAUAUGGUUAUAUAGCCGUUCUGUCAAGGCCCCUGCACAUCUUAAAGGGCCUGUCCCACUGUACGAGGUCAUUCAAUGGUCGGCAUGGACUCGGUGGGCUGAAGGGCCAGUUUCUAUGCUGUAUCUCUGAAGUAAACUAAACUAAACUUGGAGCUCACAUGUUCUCAGAGCAGAAUGAGGCCAUUCGGCCCAUCAAGUCUGCUCUACCAUUCAAUCAUGGCUGAUCUAUCUCUCCCUCUCAACCCCAUUCUCCCCAUAACCCCUGACACCCGCACUAAUCAAGAAUCUGUCAAUCUCCGCCUUAAAAAUAUCCAUUGACUUGGCCUCCACAGCCGUCUGUGGCGAUGAAUUCCACAGAUUCACCACCCUCCGACUAAAGAAAUACAUCCUCAUCUUUCUAAAGAUCUCCAAUGAAGUAGAUGGGAGAUCAGUACGCACUCCAGCUGAUGAGAGAGGAUGGUUCAAUUGGCCGAUGACGGCUGUGAAGAAAAUCCUUGAAUCUGGAGAAUCAGCGUGGGGCUGGGCAACAAUUACCACCGCCAGCGAGACCCAGACAUUGUCCAAUCUGCUGAACUCAGGCAUUUCCAGGCAACCCCCUCUGGCAAGCUAAAGAAGACAUCGCUGGGACACUGGCUUGAUGCUGCAGUAACUCAGCGGGACAGGCAGCAUCUCUGGAGAGAAGGAAUGGGUCGAGACACUUGUGGAUUCAUAUCUAAGGGUCGACACCCUCCUUCACCCUACAGACAUGUUGCCUGACUGGCUGAGUUACCCAGCCUGGCAUUGGUUUGGACUGGCAGGUAAAGUUAUGGUUCAAGAGAGCCAGCAGAUUAAGGCGCGCACUCAAUGUUGUUGUGGGUUCCAUUCACAGCUGUGCUCGGUUUGAUCAUCCUCUGCAUGGUGAGAGGCUGGGCGCAUUCCCCAUCCAUUUCAGCCGGGGAGUUCACCGACACGCCCGACACUUAAUCCACAUCCCUCACCACAGGCUUAAGAAAAAGGUGCAGGCCAUUUAGGACUGAGAUCAUGUGAUCAUAUCUCUCUCCCUCAGUAGUAACAGUUUCCCACUCCCUCACCACAGACAGUGUCACAACUGCUCACUACUAAGUGUCACACUGUGUGCUGCUUCUAUUUUUUUACACACUAACAUCCACCUCUGUACUGUCAUCGCUCCCUAAUUUCUGACAGUUUCUCUCCCUCAGUAGUGACAGUGUCUCACUACUGAACACGUGCUCACUACGGACAGUCACACUUCCCCAGAACUCACUCUGUGCACUGCCUCACAAUUAACACCUUCCCCUCUGAUAUCUUUAUCUGAACUGACAUCUCUCCCUCAGUAGUGACAAUGUCACACUCCCUCAGUAGUGACAGUGUUUCACUCCCUCAGUAGUGGCAAUGUUUCACUCGCUCAGUAGUGAGAGUACCUCACUAUUGAAGAAACACACAUGCUCACUACUGAUAGUAUCACACUCCCUCACUACUGAUAGUAUCACACUCGCUCACUACAGACAGUGUCACAUCUGCUCACUACUAAGUGUCACACUGUGCUCUGCCUCUAUUUUAACACCUUACACACUAACAUCCUUCUCUGUACUGUCAUCGCUCCCUAAUUUCUGACAGUUUCUCUCCCUCAGUAGUGACAGUGUCUCACUACUGAACACAUGCUCACUACGGACAGUCACACUUCCCCAGAACUCACCCUGUGCACUGCCUCACAAUUAACACCUUCCCCUCUGAUAUCUUUAUCUGAACUGACAUCUCUCCCUCAGUAGUGACAGUGUCACACUCCCUCAGUAGUGACAGUGUUUCACUCCCUCAGUAGUGACAAUGUCAUACUCCCUCAGUAGUGGCAGUGUUUCACUCACUCAGUAGUGAGAGUACCUCACUAUUGAAGAAACACACAUGCUCACUACUGAUAGUAUCACACUCCCUCACUACUGAUAGUAUCACACUCGCUCACUACAGACAGUGUCACAUCUGCUCACUACUAAGUGUCACACUGUGCUCUGCCUCUAUUUUAACACCUUACACACUAACAUCCUUCUCUGUACAGUCAUCUCCUUAAUUUCUGACAGUUUCUCUCCCUCAGUAGUGACAGUGUCUGCACCCCUCUCUCUCGUGACGGUUUCUCACUACUGACAGAGUAACACAUGCUCACGAUAUCACACGACCUCACUACUGCUAGUAUCACGUUCCCUCACUACGGAUAGUGUCAGUGAAACACUGUGCGCUGCCUCCUAAUUAACACCUUCCCCUCUGACACAUCUCUCUGCACUAUCAUCUCUCCCUCAGUAGUGACAGUGUCACACUCCCUCAGUAGUGACAGUGUCACACUCCCUCAGUAGUGGCAGUGUUUCACUCACUCAGUAGUGAGAGUACCUCACUAUUGAAGAAACACACAUGCUCACUACUGAUAGUAUCACACUCCCUCACUACUGAUAGUAUCACACUCGCUCACUACAGACAGUGUCACAUCUGCUCACUACUAAGUGUCACACUGUGCGCUGCCUCUAUUUUAACACCUUACACACUAACAUCCUUCUCUGUACUGUCAUCGCUCCCUAAUUUCUGACAGUUUCUCUCCCUCAGUAGUGACAGUGUCUCACUACUGAACACGUGCUCACUACAGACAAUGUCACACUUCCCCAGAACUCACCCUGUGCACUGCCUCACAAUUAACACCUUCCCCUCUGAUAUCUUUAUCUGAACUGACAUCUCUCCCUCAGUAGUGACAGUGUCACACUCCCUCAGUAGUGACAGUGUUUCACUCCCUCAGUAGUGACAGUGUCACACUCCCUCAGUAGUGGCAGUGUUUCACUCACUCAGUAGUGAGAGUACCUCACUAUUGAAGAAACACACAUGCUCACUACUGAUAGUAUCACACUCCCUCACUACUGAUAGUAUCACACUCGCUCACUACAGACAGUGUCACAUCUGCUCACUACUAAGUAUCACACUGUGUGCUGCCUCUAUUUUAACACCUUACACACUAACAUCCUUCUCUGUACUGUCAUCUCUCCCUAAUUUCUGACAGUUUCUCUCCCUCAGUAGUGACAGUGUCUGCACCCCUCUCUCUCGUGACGGUUUCUCACUACUGACAGAGUAACACAUGCUCACGAUAUCAUACGACCUCACUACUGUUAGUAUCACGUUCCCUCACUACGGAUAGUGUCAGUGAAACACUGUGCGCUGCCUCCUAAUUAACACCUACCCCUCUGACACAUCUCUCUGCACUAUCAUCUCUCCCUCAGUAGUGACAGUGUCACACUCCCUCAGUAGUGACAGUGUCACACUCCCUCAGUAGUGGCAGUGUUUCACUCACUCAGUAGUGAGAGUACCUCACUAUUGAAGAAACACACAUGCUCACUACUGAUAGUAUCACACUCCCUCACCACUGAUAGUAUUACACUUGCUCACUACAGACAGUGUCCCAUCUGCUCACUACUAAGUGUCACACUGUGUGCUGCCUCUAUUUUAACACCUUACACACUAACAUCCUUCUCUGUACAGUCAUCUCUCCUUAAUUUCUGACAGUUUCUCUCCCUCAGUAGUGACAGUGUCACACUCCCUCAGUAGUGACAGUGACAAACUCCCUCAGUAGUGACAGUGUCUGCACCCCUCUCACUAGUGACAGUGUCUCACUACUGAACACGUGCUCACUACAGACAAUGUCACACUUCCCCAGAACUCACCCUGUGCACUGCCUCACAAUUAACACCUUCCCCUCUGAUAUCUUUAUCUGAACUGACAUCUCUCCCUCAGUAGUGACAGUGUCACACUCCCUCAGUAGUGACAGUGUUUCACUCCCUCAGUAGUGACAAUGUCAUACUCCCUCAGUAGUGACAGUGUUUCACUCACUCAGUAGUGAGAGUACCUCACUAUUGAAGAAACACACAUGCUCACUACUGAUAGUAUCACACUCCCUCACCACUGAUAGUAUUACACUCGCUCACUACAGACAGUGUCACAUCUGCUCACUACUAAGUGUCACACUGUGCUCUGCCUCUAUUUUAACACCUUACACACUAACAUCCUUCUCUGUACAGUCAUCUCCUUAAUUUCUGACAGUUUCUCUCCCUCAGUAGUGACAGUGUCUGCACCCCUCUCUCUCGUGACGGUUUCUCACUACUGACAGAGUAACACAUGCUCACGAUAUCACACGACCUCACUACUGCUAGUAUCACAUUCCCUCACUACGGAUAGUGUCAGUGAAACACUGUGCGCUGCCUCCUAAUUAACACCUUCCCCUCUGACACAUCUCUCUGCACUAUCAUCUCUCCCUCAGUAGUGACAGUGUCACACUCCCUCAGUAGUGACAGUGUCACACUCCCUCAGUAGUGACAGUGUCACACUCCCUCAGUAGUGACAGUGUUUCACUCACUCAGUAGUGAGAGUACCUCACUAUUGAAGAAACACACAUGCUCACUACUGAUAGUAUCACACUCCCUCACUACUGAUAGUAUCACACUCGCUCACUACAGACAGUGUCACAUCUGCUCACUACUAAGUGUCACACUGUGCGCUGCCUCUAUUUUAACACCUUACACACUAACAUCCUUCUCUGUACUGUCAUCUCUCCCUAAUUUCUGACAGUUUCUCUCCCUCAGUAGUGACAGUGUCUGCACCCCUCUCACUAGUGACAGUGUCUCACUACUGAACACGUGCUCACUACAGACAAUGUCACACUUCCCCAGAACUCACCCUGUGCACUGCCUCACAAUUAACACCUUCCCCUCUGAUAUCUUUAUCUGAACUGACAUCUCUCUCAGU
Leucoraja erinaceus (little skate) is the source of this 5582-nucleotide long non-coding RNA. RefSeq lists it as uncharacterized. NCBI's taxonomy places the organism in Eukaryota, Metazoa, Chordata, Chondrichthyes, Rajiformes, Rajidae. The record is from RefSeq and is a predicted model, not a curated record. The transcript has 3 exons.